GCUCAGCAGUGUCCCCAUGCCACCUGAGGGGGACANGGGGGUUGGGACAUAGGGACAUGUGUGCAUGGGGACACGGGGGCAUGGGGACAUGGGGACAUGGGAACAUGGGGGUUGGGACAUAGGGACGUGUGUGCAUGGGGACACGGGGACAUGGGGACAUAGGGACAUGGGGACAUAGGGAUGUGGAGACAUGGGGACACGGGGACAUGGGGACAUGGGGACACAGGGACAUGGGGACAUAGGGGCAUGGGUGCAUGGGUACAUGGGGAUGUGGGGAUGUGGGGACGUGGGGACAUGAGGACAUGGGGACAUAGAGACAUAGGGGCGUGGGGACAUGGGGACACAGGGACUUGGGGACAUGAGGACAUAGGGACAUGGGGACAUGGGGACACGGGGACAUGGGGACACUGGGACGUGGAGACAUAGGGAUGUGGGGACAUGGGGACAUGGGGACACGGGGAUAUGGGGACAUGGGGACAUAGGGACACGGGGACAUGGGGAUGUGGGGAUGUGGGGACAUGGGGACAUGAGGACAUGGGGACACGGGAACAUAGGGACAUAGAGACAUGGGGACAUGGGGACACGGGGACACAGGGACAUGGGGACAAGGGGACAUGGGGACAUAGGGACAUAGAGACAUGGGGACAUGGGGACACGGGGACAUGGGGACACAGGGACACAGGGACAUGGGGACACGGGGACAUGGGGACACUGGGACGUGGAGACAUAGGGAUAUGGGGACGUGGGGACAUGAGUGCAUGGGGAUACAGGGACAUGGGGACACAGGGAUAUAGGGACACUGGGACAUGGGGACACAGGGACAUGGGGACAUGGGGACAUGGGGACAUGCAUGGCACCACAGCACCGUGUGAGCUGAGCCAGCUCUGUCUGCCCACAGCUGCUGGUCGGCUACAGGUCCUGGCGUCACCCUGCCUGCUACAUCACCCGUGUGGACAAGGACAACUUCCCGGGGCUGGACGCUGUCACCGAGACCUUCCAGCGCCGGCAGGACGAGGACAAGGUUGGGGACAAGGCCGUGCCCCUGGCUGACCGCUCCAUCCUGGGCACCACCAUCAACAUCCUCUGCAGCGCCGUCCCCGUGUUCUGGGCAUAGCGGGAUGGGACAGCGACAUGGGGGUGGCACUGUCCCCCACUGUCCCCUUCCAGGCUGGAAUGUCUGCUCCUCGUCCCCACCCUGGGGACAGCCACCCCGCCCAUUGUCACUUGGCACCGCAUGCUCCAGCCAUAAAAAAAGUGGGAUUUGCUUCGGGGUUUGCUUCUGUCUACAAAGUAAAGGCUGUGUCACCGCCUCUGAGUGUGCUCUUGCCCUU
RNAcentral lists this long non-coding RNA (1331 nucleotides) under Zonotrichia albicollis (white-throated sparrow). RNAcentral describes it as "lncRNA (ENSZALG00000001936.1)". The record is from RNAcentral. Lineage: Eukaryota; Metazoa; Chordata; Aves; Passeriformes; Passerellidae.